This 253-nucleotide ribosomal RNA is filed under the name uncultured bacterium. Its description in RNAcentral is "partial 16S ribosomal RNA". It matches the Rfam family "Bacterial small subunit ribosomal RNA", at positions 524 to 776 of the family's 1533-position model. The record is from RNAcentral.
AACGUAGGUGGCGAGCGUUAUCCGGAUUUACUGGGCGUAAAGGGUGUGCAGGCGGGCUGUUAAGUGGUGUAUGAAAUAUCCCGGCUCAACCGGGAAGGGUUAUGCCAGACUGGCAGUCUAGAGAGCGAGAGAGGGACGUGGAAUUCCGGGUGUAGUGGUGAAAUGCGUAGAGAUCCGGAAGAACACCUAUGGCGAAGGCAGCUCUCUGGGACGGUACUGACGCUGAGACGCGAAAGCGUGGGGAGCGAACAGG